CGCACAUUGCGCCCCUUGGUAUUCCGAGGGGCAUGCCUGUCCGAGCGUCAUUAUCACCCCUCAAGCCCCUGUGCUUGGUGUUGGAGGGCCCCGUCGGGCGGAUCUCGCCCGACCCCUCCCAAAGACAAUGACGGCGGUCUGUGGAACCCCCGGUACACCGAGCUCCUUUCUUAAGGGCACGUACCGGAUCAGGGCGCCCAGCCGACGGUCUCAAACUUUUCAUUAUACAAGGUUGACCUCGGAUCAGGUAGGGAUACGCGCUGAACUUAA
This 270-nucleotide unclassified non-coding RNA is filed under the name Argopericonia sp. RNAcentral describes it as "partial contains 5.8S ribosomal RNA, internal transcribed spacer 2, and large subunit ribosomal RNA". The record is from RNAcentral. Lineage: Eukaryota; Fungi; Ascomycota; Eurotiomycetes.